Molecule: ribosomal RNA, 732 nt
Filed under: uncultured Leptotrichia sp.
Lineage: Bacteria; Fusobacteriati; Fusobacteriota; Fusobacteriia; Fusobacteriales; Leptotrichiaceae
Description: bacterial SSU rRNA
Rfam family: Bacterial small subunit ribosomal RNA
Source: RNAcentral
GAUGAACGCUGACAGAAUGCUUAACGCAUGCAAGUCUUUGGCGAAGCUGUGCUUGCACAGCCUAGCCAAGGCGGACGGGUGAGUAACGCGUAAGGAACUUGCCCUGCAGUCAGGGAUAACAGACGGAAACGACUGAUAAGACCCGGUAAAGUCAGGCAGACUCAUGUCCAGCCUGAUGAAAAGAGAUGCUGCAGGAGAGCCUUGCGUCCUAUUAGCUUGUUGGUGGGGUAACGGCCCACCAAGGCGAUGAUAGGUAGCCGGCCUGAGAGGGUGGACGGCCACAAGGGGACUGAGAUACGGCCCUUACUCCUACGGGAGGCAGCAGUGGGGAAUAUUGGACAAUGGGGGCAACCCUGAUCCAGCAAUUCUGUGUGCACGAUGAAGGUUUUCGGAUUGUAAAGUGCUUUCAGCAGGGAAGAAAAAAAUGACGGUACCUGCAGAAGAAGCGACGGCUAAAUACGUGCCAGCAGCCGCGGUAAUACGUAUGUCGCAAGCGUUAUCCGGAAUUAUUGGGCAUAAAGAGCAUCUAGGCGGCCAGAUAAGUCUGGGGUGAAAACUUGCGGCUCAACCGCAAGCCUGCCCUGGAAACUAUGUGGCUAGAGUACUGGAGAGGUGGACGGAACUGCACGAGUAGAGGUGAAAUUCGUAGAUAUGUGCAGGAAUGCCGAUGAUGAAGAUAGUUCACUGGACGGUAACUGACGCUGAAGUGCGAAAGCUAGGGGAGCAAACAGG